RNAcentral lists this long non-coding RNA (230 nucleotides) under Trifolium pratense (red clover). RNAcentral describes it as "long non-coding RNA (TPRA_LNC002501)". Lineage: Eukaryota; Viridiplantae; Streptophyta; Magnoliopsida; Fabales; Fabaceae. The record is from RNAcentral.
CCAUUUAAGGCGGAUUCCACUUAUUAUUGAGUUUCAUUAAUCUUCACUUGUGUUAAAAUUUUGUUCUAAUCUUGAUAUGUCUCUGAGACGCGACUCAUCUAAACUAUUUUGAUAUAAUUUUUUUAAAAACAUUAUAAAUGGCAUAUUGUGAUACUCCUAUAAUGCAAGUGACCGUCGACUAAGAGAGAAAUUUGAGUUUGCCCCAUUUACUAUUCCUCCAUUUAUUAUCC